CCCGGGGCGCGCCCCGGNCGGGGCGGGGGCACGGGGGGAACGCGAAGAACCUUACCAAGGCUUGACAUGAACCGGAAACGCCUGGAAACAGGUGCCCCACUUGUGGUCGGUUUACCAGGUGGUGCAUGGUUGUCGUCAGCUCGUGUCGUGAGAUGUUGGGUUAAGUCCCGCAAUCGAGCGCAACCCUCGUUCUAUGUUGCCAGCACGUGAUGGUGGGGACUCAUAGGAGACUGGCCGGGGUCNACUCGGAGGAAGGUGGGGACGACGUCAAAUCAUCAUGCCCCUUAUGUCUUGGGCUUCACGCAUGCUACAAUGGCCGGUACAAAGGGUUGCGAUACCUGUGAGGUGGAGCUAAUCCCAAAAAGCCGGU
RNAcentral lists this ribosomal RNA (370 nucleotides) under Pseudomonas plecoglossicida. RNAcentral describes it as "bacterial SSU rRNA". It matches the Rfam family "Bacterial small subunit ribosomal RNA", at positions 934 to 1286 of the family's 1533-position model. The record is from RNAcentral. Lineage: Bacteria; Pseudomonadati; Pseudomonadota; Gammaproteobacteria; Pseudomonadales; Pseudomonadaceae.